GUGACUGCGUACCUUUUGUAUAAUGGGUCAGCGACUUAUAUUCUGUAGCAAGGUUAACCGAAUAGGGGAGCCGAAGGGAAACCGAGUCUUAACUGGGCGUUAAGUUGCAGGGUAUAGACCCGAAACCCGGUGAUCUAGCCAUGGGCAGGUUGAAGGUUGGGUAACACUAACUGGAGGACCGAACCGACUAAUGUUGAAAAAUUAGCGGAUGACUUGUGGCUGGGGGUGAAAGGCCAAUCAAACCGGGAGAUAGCUGGUUCUCCCCGAAAGCUAUUUAGGUAGCGCCUCGUGAAUUCAUCUCCGGGGGUAGAGCACUGUUUCGGCAAGGGGGUCAUCCCGACUUACCAACCCGAUGCAAACUGCGAAUACCGGAGAAUGUUAUCACGGGAGACACACGGCGGGUGCUAACGUCCGUCGUGAAGAGGGAAACAACCCAGACCGCCAGCUAAGGUCCCAAAGUCAUGGUUAAGUGGGAAACGAUGUGGGAAGGCCCAGACAGCCAGGAUGUUGGCUUAGAAGCAGCCAUCAUUUAAAGAAAGCGUAAUAGCUCACUGGUCGAGUCGGCCUGCGCGGAAGAUGUAACGGGGCUAAACCAUGCACCGAAGCUGCGGCAGCGACGCUUAUGCGUUGUUGGGUAGGGGAGCGUUCUGUAAGCCUGUGAAGGUGUGCUGUGAGGCAUGCUGGAGGUAUCAGAAGUGCGAAUGCUGACAUAAGUAACGAUAAAGCGGGUGAAAAGCCCGCUCGCCGGAAGACCAAGGGUUCCUGUCCAACGUUAAUCGGGGCAGGGUGAGUCGACCCCUAAGGCGAGGCCGAAAGGCGUAGUCGAUGGGAAACAGGUUAAUAUUCCUGUACUUGGUGUUACUGCGAAGGGGGGACGGAGAAGGCUAUGUUGGCCGGGCGACGGUUGUCCCGGUUUAAGCGUGUAGGCUGGUUUUCCAGGCAAAUCCGGAAAAUCAAGGCUGAGGCGUGAUGACGAGGCACUACGGUGCUGAAGCAACAAAUGCCCUGCUUCCAGGAAAAGCCUCUAAGCAUCAGGUAACAUCAAAUCGUACCCCAAACCGACACAGGUGGUCAGGUAGAGAAUACCAAGGCGCUUGAGAGAACUCGGGUGAAGGAACUAGGCAAAAUGGUGCCGUAACUUCGGGAGAAGGCACGCUGAUAUGUAGGUGAAGUCCCUUGCGGAUGGAGCUGAAAUCAGUCGAAGAUACCAGCUGGCUGCAACUGUUUAUUAAAAACACAGCACUGUGCAAACACGAAAGUGGACGUAUACGGUGUGACGCCUGCCCGGUGCCGGAAGGUUAAUUGAUGGGGUCAGCGCAAGCGAAGCUCUUGAUCGAAGCCCCGGUAAACGGCGGCCGUAACUAUAACGGUCCUAAGGUAGCGAAAUUCCUUGUCGGGUAAGUUCCGACCUGCACGAAUGGCGUAAUGAUGGCCAGGCUGUCUCCACCCGAGACUCAGUGAAAUUGAACUCGCUGUGAAGAUGCAGUGUACCCGCGGCAAGACGGAAAGACCCCGUGAACCUUUACUAUAGCUUGACACUGAACAUUGAGCCUUGAUGUGUAGGAUAGGUGGGAGGCUUUGAAGUGUGGACGCCAGUCUGCAUGGAGCCGACCUUGAAAUACCACCCUUUAAUGUUUGAUGUUCUAACGUGGACCCGUGAUCCGGGUUGCGGACAGUGUCUGGUGGGUAGUUUGACUGGGGCGGUCUCCUCCUAAAGAGUAACGGAGGAGCACGAAGGUUGGCUAAUCCUGGUCGGACAUCAGGAGGUUAGUGCAAUGGCAUAAGCCAGCUUGACUGCGAGCGUGACGGCGCGAGCAGGUGCGAAAGCAGGUCAUAGUGAUCCGGUGGUUCUGAAUGGAAGGGCCAUCGCUCAACGGAUAAAAGGUACUCCGGGGAUAACAGGCUGAUACCGCCCAAGAGUUCAUAUCGACGGCGGUGUUUGGCACCUCGAUGUCGGCUCAUCACAUCCUGGGGCUGAAGUAGGUCCCAAGGGUAUGGCUGUUCGCCAUUUAAAGUGGUACGCGAGCUGGGUUUAGAACGUCGUGAGACAGUUCGGUCCCUAUCUGCCGUGGGCGCUGGAGAACUGAGGGGGGCUGCUCCUAGUACGAGAGGACCGGAGUGGACGCAUCACUGGUGUUCGGGUUGUCAUGCCAAUGGCACUGCCCGGUAGCUAAAUGCGGAAGAGAUAAGUGCUGAAAGCAUCUAAGCACGAAACUUGCCCCGAGAUGAGUUCUCCCUGAC
This 2241-nucleotide ribosomal RNA is filed under the name Escherichia coli. RNAcentral's name for it is "partial 23S ribosomal RNA". It matches the Rfam family "Bacterial large subunit ribosomal RNA", at positions 593 to 2819 of the family's 2925-position model. The record is from RNAcentral. Lineage: Bacteria; Pseudomonadati; Pseudomonadota; Gammaproteobacteria; Enterobacterales; Enterobacteriaceae.